RNAcentral lists this ribosomal RNA (502 nucleotides) under uncultured bacterium. RNAcentral describes it as "bacterial SSU rRNA". It matches the Rfam family "Bacterial small subunit ribosomal RNA", at positions 26 to 518 of the family's 1533-position model. The record is from RNAcentral.
AGGAUGAACGCUAGCGACAGGCUUAACACAUGCAAGUCGAGGGGCAGCACGGGAGUAGCAAUACUUGGUGGCGACCGGCGCACGGGUGAGUAACGCGUAUGCAACCUACCUAUCAGAGGGGAAUAACCCGGCGAAAGUCGGACUAAUACCGCAUAAAACAGGGGCACCGCAUGGUGAUAUUUGUUAAAGAAAUUCGCUGAUAGAUGGGCAUGCGUUCCAUUAGGUAGUUGGUGAGGUAACGGCUCACCAAGCCGACGAUGGAUAGGGGAACUGAGAGGUUGGUCCCCCACACUGGUACUGAGACACGGACCAGACUCCUACGGGAGGCAGCAGUGAGGAAUAUUGGUCAAUGGGCGGGAGCCUGAACCAGCCAAGUCGCGUGAAGGGAAAAGAAGGAUCUAUGGUUCGUAAACUUCUUUUGCAGGGGAAUAAAGUGCAGGACGUGUCCUGUUUUGUAUGUACCCUGAGAAUAAGGAUCGGCUAACUCCGUGCCAGCAGCAGC